This 433-nucleotide long non-coding RNA is filed under the name Ananas comosus (pineapple). RNAcentral's name for it is "long non-coding RNA (ACOM_LNC026821)". The record is from RNAcentral. Lineage: Eukaryota; Viridiplantae; Streptophyta; Magnoliopsida; Poales; Bromeliaceae.
CAAUUACUCGCAGAGCUGAAUUGAGGCGUGGUUUGAAUUUCGCAGACGAAAUUCUUUUAAGGGGUGGAGAAUGUAAUAUACCAGAUUUUGGUAUAAAAAUAAAAAUAAAUAAAAAUAGUGUGAGAAACUAUUUUUAUUGAAUUUAUAGGAGUAAAAUAUAAGUCAGAAAUGACUUGUGCUAAAAUCGGACUGGAAACAAAAGAUUUAGAACUUUUUGUUGGAAACGGGACAGAUAAAUUAGCAGAAAAUGCACAAUCUCAGAAAAUUAUGAAAAUUGGAGGAUAAGUCAGAAAAUUGGAGGCUAGAUUUGAAGUUUCAUAUUUUUCUGACACCCGUAGAGUGAGAAAUAAAAUACGAGAGUUAUCUGAUAAAGAUUAUAGUUCGGUACAGUUUUCGGUGACCAAAUGGGGUCAAAACUAAAAACUUAAAAUAU